GAUGAACGCUGGCGGCGUGCCUAAUACAUGCAAGUCGAGCGAACGGACGAGAAGCUUGCUCCUCUGAUGUUAGCGGCGGACGGGUGAGUAACACGUGGAUAACCUACCUAUAAGACUGGGAUAACUUCGGGAAACCGGAGCUAAUACCGGAUAAUAUAUUGAACCGCAUGGUUCAAUAGUGAAAGACGGUCUUGCUGUCACUUAUAGAUGGAUCCGCGCUGCAUUAGCUAGUUGGUAAGGUAACGGCUUACCAAGGCAACGAUGCAUAGCCGACCUGAGAGGGUGAUCGGCCACACUGGAACUGAGACACGGUCCAGACUCCUACGGGAGGCAGCAGUAGGGAAUCUUCCGCAAUGGGCGAAAGCCUGACGGAGCAACGCCGCGUGAGUGAUGAAGGUCUUCGGAUCGUAAAACUCUGUUAUUAGGGAAGAACAAAUGUGUAAGUAACUGUGCACAUCUUGACGGUACCUAAUCAGAAAGCCACGGCUAACUACGUG
Molecule: ribosomal RNA, 497 nt
Filed under: uncultured bacterium
Lineage: Bacteria
Description: partial 16S ribosomal RNA
Rfam family: Bacterial small subunit ribosomal RNA
Source: RNAcentral